RNAcentral lists this long non-coding RNA (1390 nucleotides) under Delphinapterus leucas (beluga whale). Its description in RNAcentral is "lncRNA (ENSDLEG00000008391.1)". Lineage: Eukaryota; Metazoa; Chordata; Mammalia; Artiodactyla; Monodontidae. The record is from RNAcentral.
CAGGAGUCCUGGCCCCGUGCCCCGGAACAGCUCCACCAGGCCCUGCCGCCCGGAGAUCCACCAGUUGUCAGCAGCAGGGAGCUUGGAGCUGCUGUGUGAGGUGGUCUGCGGCCCAGGCGUGGCCGUGCGCUGGACCCGGGCCCCUGGCGGGCUGGCGGCCUACGAGACGCAGGAGGUGGGGGCCCAGGCUUGGCUGAGCGGUGGGAGCAUGCUGUGGGCCAGAUGCCACGGUGAGGGCUGGUUCCAGUGUUGCCUGGACCCAGGGGGCCAGACGGCCAACCUGCUCCCCGCUAACGUCUGCAUACCUGUGGACGGGCAGCUUGGUUCUGGGGCUGCUUCUCCUGGUGUUCCUGACCUACCGCCUGUGGAAACGCUGCCGGCCCACCAGAUGACCUGGGCCCCUGCCCCGCCUGGACCACACGGAAGGGGAUUUUCCUUCCACUCAGUUGCGACUAGAGGAUGUUUGCAGGGUUCUGGACAGCAGGGGGGCUGACCGUGGACCCCUUACCCUGAUGGCCAGCACAUCCAGGCUCCCCAGCUGGCUGGGCUUCCCUUCAGUGGGGACCCUGGGGAGCCGCCACCCCCACCCACCCCCACGGUGCAGAGCUGGAGAAUAAAGAGCAUCUGGUCUGACCUCGGUGGUUCCUGUCGCGGUCUGAGGACACGGGGAAUCCCCGGCACAGCUCCAACCAUCCUCUGCUCUAGGUGACUCCCCAGACAGACAAGGAAGGACAGGACACCCCAGCCCCACGUGGUCAGGGGUGGGGGUAAGAGGCGUGUGCUCUUCCUGGUGCCUUUCCCUGCUUAAUGAGUAACUAGGAGUCCUCAAAAGAAGCGGAGAAAAGUAUUUGUUGGACGACAGCACGGGCAAAGACACAGAAGAGAGGUGGCUUGAUAAGGGAAAUUGCAUCUCUUUUGGGGUGGCUGGAGGCUAAAGCGUGGGGAGAGGCGAGGGAGAGGCUGGAAAUGAUACCGGCAGAUGAAGGGCUGUAGAUGCCAGGGUCGUCAGCCUUGUGGAACCGAGGAGCUAUGGGAGAGUUUAGAGCUAUAGAGGAUGCGGUGUGAGAAAGUUCCCUCAAGUGGUAAGGAAAGGUAACAGCCUGGGACGGGGAACUGGGGACCGUGGGUGGUCCACUCGCUCUGUGAACCCGUACAGCGGACUAGGGGCCGCGGAAGCGCAGACCAGACCCCUAACCCAGCCUGGCGGGGAGAGGGGGCCUUUCCCCACGAGGUGAGCUACAAACUCGCACGGAGAUUGGGUUAGGCUGAAGACCAGGCUGAGCACAAAGGCUCUGAGUUGAAAAUCAGAAAAGGGGGCGGGAGCGGCGCUUACUCCCGGAGUUGGGGUGGAACCAUCCCGCCCGCUCUCAGCAGGGCUUCCCUGGUAACC